AGAGUUUGAUCAUGGCUCAGAUUGAACGCUGGCGGCAGGCCUAACACAUGCAAGUCGAGCGGUAGCACAGAGAGCUUGCUCUCGGGUGACGAGCGGCGGACGGGUGAGUAAUGUCUGGGAAACUGCCUGAUGGAGGGGGAUAACUACUGGAAACGGUAGCUAAUACCGCAUAAUGUCGCAAGACCAAAGUGGGGGACCUUCGGGCCUCAUGCCAUCAGAUGUGCCCAGAUGGGAUUAGCUAGUAGGUGGGGUAACGGCUCACCUAGGCGACGAUCCCUAGCUGGUCUGAGAGGAUGACCAGCCACACUGGAACUGAGACACGGUCCAGACUCCUACGGGAGGCAGCAGUGGGGAAUAUUGCACAAUGGGCGCAAGCCUGAUGCAGCCAUGCCGCGUGUGUGAAGAAGGCCUUCGGGUUGUAAAGCACUUUCAGCGGGGAGGAAGGCGGUGAGGUUAAUAACCUCAUCGAUUGACGUUACCCGCAGAAGAAGCACCGGCUAACUCCGUGCCAGCAGCCGCGGUAAUACGGAGGGUGCAAGCGUUAAUCGGAAUUACUGGGCGUAAAGCGCACGCAGGCGGUCUGUCAAGUCGGAUGUGAAAUCCCCGGGCUCAACCUGGGAACUGCAUUCGAAACUGGCAGGCUAGAGUCUUGUAGAGGGGGGUAGAAUUCCAGGUGUAGCGGUGAAAUGCGUAGAGAUCUGGAGGAAUACCGGUGGCGAAGGCGGCCCCCUGGACAAAGACUGACGCUCAGGUGCGAAAGCGUGGGGAGCAAACAGGAUUAGAUACCCUGGUAGUCCACGCCGUAAACGAUGUCGAUUUGGAGGUUGUGCCCUUGAGGCGUGGCUUCCGGAGCUAACGCGUUAAAUCGACCGCCUGGGGAGUACGGCCGCAAGGUUAAAACUCAAAUGAAUUGACGGGGGCCCGCACAAGCGGUGGAGCAUGUGGUUUAAUUCGAUGCAACGCGAAGAACCUUACCUGGUCUUGACAUCCACAGAACUUAGCAGAGAUGCUUUGGUGCCUUCGGGAACUGUGAGACAGGUGCUGCAUGGCUGUCGUCAGCUCGUGUUGUGAAAUGUUGGGUUAAGUCCCGCAACGAGCGCAACCCUUAUCCUUUGUUGCCAGCGGUCCGGCCGGGAACUCAAAGGAGACUGCCAGUGAUAAACUGGAGGAAGGUGGGGAUGACGUCAAGUCAUCAUGG
RNAcentral lists this ribosomal RNA (1198 nucleotides) under Klebsiella pneumoniae. RNAcentral's name for it is "bacterial SSU rRNA". It matches the Rfam family "Bacterial small subunit ribosomal RNA", at positions 8 to 1198 of the family's 1533-position model. Lineage: Bacteria; Pseudomonadati; Pseudomonadota; Gammaproteobacteria; Enterobacterales; Enterobacteriaceae. The record is from RNAcentral.